Molecule: ribosomal RNA, 497 nt
Filed under: uncultured bacterium
Lineage: Bacteria
Description: partial 16S ribosomal RNA
Rfam family: Bacterial small subunit ribosomal RNA
Source: RNAcentral
GAUGAACGCUGGCGGCGUGCCUAAUACAUGCAAGUCGAGCGAACAGACGAGGAGCUUGCUCCUCUGACGUUAGCGGCGGACGGGUGAGUAACACGUGGAUAACCUACCUAUAAGACUGGGAUAACUUCGGGAAACCGGAGCUAAUACCGGAUAAUAUAUUGAACCGCAUGGUUCAAUAGUGAAAGACGGCUUUGCUGUCACUUAUAGAUGGAUCCGCGCCGCAUUAGCUAGUUGGUAAGGUAACGGCUUACCAAGGCAACGAUGCGUAGCCGACCUGAGAGGGUGAUCGGCCACACUGGAACUGAGACACGGUCCAGACUCCUACGGGAGGCAGCGGUAGGGAAUCUUCCGCAGUGGGCGAAAGCCUGACGGAACAACGCCGCGUGAGUGAUGAAGGUCUUCGGAUCGUAAAACUCUGUUAUUAGGGAAGAACAGAUGUGUAAGUAACUAUGCACGUCUUGACGGUACCUAGUCAGAAAGCCACGGCUAACUACGUG